This 467-nucleotide ribosomal RNA is filed under the name uncultured bacterium. RNAcentral describes it as "bacterial SSU rRNA". It matches the Rfam family "Bacterial small subunit ribosomal RNA", at positions 330 to 794 of the family's 1533-position model. The record is from RNAcentral.
UCCAGACUCCUACGGGAGGCAGCAGUGAGGAAUAUUGGUCAAUGGCCGAGAGGCUGAACCAGCCAAGUCGCGUGAGGGAAGACGGCCCUACGGGUUGUAAACCUCUUUUGUCGGGGAGCAAAGCGAGUCACGUGUGACUCAUUGAGAGUACCCGAAGAAAAAGCAUCGGCUAACUCCGUGCCAGCAGCCGCGGUAAUACGUAGGGAGCAAGCGUUAUCCGGAAUUAUUGGGUGUAAAGGGUGCGUAGACGGGAGUCUAAGUUAGUUGUGAAAUCCCUCGGCUCAACUGAGGAACUGCAACUAAAACUGGACAUCUUGAGUGCAGGAGAGGAAAGUGGAAUUCCUAGUGUAGCGGUGAAAUGCGUAGAUAUUAGGAGGAACACCAGUGGCGAAGGCGACUUUCUGGACUGUAACUGACGUUGAGGCACGAAAGUGUGGGGAGCAAACAGGAUUAGAUACCCGAGUAAA